Molecule: transfer RNA, 85 nt
Filed under: Pelagicoccus enzymogenes
Lineage: Bacteria; Pseudomonadati; Verrucomicrobiota; Opitutia; Puniceicoccales; Pelagicoccaceae
Description: tRNA-Leu
Rfam family: tRNA
About the family: Transfer RNA (tRNA) molecules are approximately 80 nucleotides in length.
Source: RNAcentral
GCCCAGGUGGCGGAAUUGGUAGACGCGCUAGAUUUAGGCUCUAGUAUCGAGAGAUGUGCAGGUUCGACCCCUGUCCUGGGUACCA